UCCGUUGUAGUCUAGUUGGUUAGGAUAUUCGGCUCUCACCUGAAAGACUUGGUUUCAAGUUUCGGCAAUAGAA
Jatropha curcas is the source of this 73-nucleotide non-coding RNA. NCBI's taxonomy places the organism in Eukaryota, Viridiplantae, Streptophyta, Magnoliopsida, Malpighiales, Euphorbiaceae. The record is from Rfam.